Molecule: non-coding RNA, 482 nt
Organism: Cucurbita pepo subsp. pepo (vegetable marrow)
Lineage: Eukaryota; Viridiplantae; Streptophyta; Magnoliopsida; Cucurbitales; Cucurbitaceae
Source: RefSeq, a predicted model, not a curated record
AAAGAGAGAGAGAAUGGAGAAAGGAGAGAAGUUAGGGUUUAGGAGAGAGGAAGAACAGAGAUGACAAAUCGCCAUGGGAGAUCGAAUCCAAGGCAAGAAACUUCGAAGCAAUACUUCUCUUAGUGCUGGAAAAGGAGUUCGGGUGGUGGAAUCCACUCAUUCCGGCAAGAAAAUCCGAGUACGGACAAAGUUUCUUGAAGUUCUUGGACGAGAAUCGGACAAAAAUAAGAGUUUAGUCUGACUUCGGGUAGAGCGAUCGAAAAUAGAAAAUGAGGAGAUUGAGGAGGCCUUGCCGCCACGCGUCGGCCGGCAUAUGGAGGAGCGCGGCAGGACCGACGAGUGACACGUGGCGACCGCGGGUUGGGGAGGCGUGCCCCACUGGCUAGUCGACACGCGUCAGGGCGCGGAUUCGGGUCAACCCGAGUCCGAUCCGGCGCUCCGCAUGCGACCCGGGAACACCGAACCGAACCGGCUGCUGGCCC